AGCAGUGUGGCCUAGAGAUUAGAGCAUGGGGCCUGGGAGUCAGAAGGACCUGGGUUCUAAUCCCAGCUCUGCCA
This 74-nucleotide transfer RNA is filed under the name Ornithorhynchus anatinus (platypus). It matches the Rfam family "tRNA". Rfam says of the family: Transfer RNA (tRNA) molecules are approximately 80 nucleotides in length. Lineage: Eukaryota; Metazoa; Chordata; Mammalia; Monotremata; Ornithorhynchidae. The record is from Rfam by way of RNAcentral.